This 253-nucleotide ribosomal RNA is filed under the name uncultured bacterium. RNAcentral describes it as "partial 16S ribosomal RNA". It matches the Rfam family "Bacterial small subunit ribosomal RNA", at positions 524 to 776 of the family's 1533-position model. The record is from RNAcentral.
UACGUAGGGGGCAAGCGUUGUCCGGAAUUAUUGGGCGUAAAGAGCGUGUAGGCGGUCCGGUAAGUCAGCUGUGAAAGUCAAGGGCUCAACCCUUGAAAGCCGGUUGAUACUGUCGGGCUAGAGUCCGGAAGAGGCGAGUGGAAUUCCCGGUGUAGCGGUGAAAUGCGCAGAUAUCAGGAGGAACACCGGUGGCGAAGGCGGGUCUCUGGGCCGUAACUGACGCUGAGGAGCGAAAGCAUGGGGAGCGAACAGG